Molecule: long non-coding RNA, 757 nt
Filed under: Homo sapiens (human)
Lineage: Eukaryota; Metazoa; Chordata; Mammalia; Primates; Hominidae
Description: long non-coding RNA NONHSAT202636.1
Source: RNAcentral
CUGCCAUAAAUAGGCAGCUAGGGCGCGCUCGCUUCAGCCCAAUUGCUAACUACAAGUAGGGUAGUCUGUCCUCAGAGUGCUUGUAAAUGCAUGGCAGGACUGCUACUGGGCCACCUGGGUCCCUGUCAAUGACUUGUGCUUCAGCCUUGGAGGCAGCAGCACCCCGCUUUCAGCAGAGGAUGUCUGUGGGGCUCCAGGUAUGCGGAGUUGCAGGGGUUGCUGGGCCUCAGGGCAGGAUGUAGUCUGCUGGGGACUGGGCUCUCAAAAUGGCGUCUUGCUGUGGCUGCUUAGGGCUCAGGGGAUGUGUGGGACCUAGCGUGAGUUUCCCCCUGGAGCAAUGCCAUCUGUGAUCUCCAGGACGCUCCCUAUGUUAGUCACAGGGCUUGUGUGGGUCGAGGGGCUCUCGUAGGGCUGGGAUUGCAGUAGUCCAUGAUGGGAAUGCAGACCGCUGUGGGUAAGUCAUUUACUCUUUCCUCACACUGGGGAGCCUCUCCAGGCUCCCAGCCAGUCCUGGCAGACUGUCUCUCUUACCGCUUGCGCUCCUUCCUCACCUCAGGUGUUUUCUGUCACUUCUCCGUUAAAUCCAGUGUUCUCUUUUUGGUGGUGUAUUAAACGUGUGAUUAUGCGCUGUUUCACUUCUUGAUGGAGGAGGCAAGGACCAGAUGCCUCUAGUUAGCCAUCUUGGAGCCCCUCCAAGGCCCUACUUGUCAAUAUCAUUACAACAGGGAAUACGUUUUAAUCUAAACUGUGGAGGAAG